This 231-nucleotide unclassified non-coding RNA is filed under the name uncultured fungus. RNAcentral describes it as "sequence contains ITS1, 5.8S rRNA gene". Lineage: Eukaryota; Fungi. The record is from RNAcentral. RNAcentral also lists the same sequence under 1 other name.
AUGAAUAAACUUGGUCGAGUUGUUGCUGGUCCUUCGGGGCAUGUGCACGCUUGCCACUUUUAUAACCACCUGUGCACCUUUUGUAGACUGGAAACGUUCUCGAGGCAACUCGGAUUGAGGACUGCUGUGCGCAAGCCAGCUGUUCUUGUGUUUCUCAGUCUAUGUUUUUCAUAUACUCCAAAUGUAUGUAUCUGAAUGUAUUGCUAGGCCUCAGUGCCUUUAAAACAAAUA